UAGGGAAUAUUAGAAAUGGACGAAAGUCUGAUCUAGCAACACCGCGUGUGCGAUGAAGGCCUUCGGGUUGUAAAGCACUUUUUGGAAGGAUUAGGAGGGAAUGUACUUCUAGAAUAAGUCUCGGCUAACUACGUGCCAGCAGCCGCGGUAACACGUAGGAGGCGAACGUUAUCCGGAUUUACUGGGCGUAAAGCGCGUGUAGGUGGUUCUGUAAGUAGGGCGUGAAAGCUCCUGGCUCAACUGGGAGAGGCCGUUCUAAACUGCAGAGCUAGGGGAUGGUAGAGGGAGGUGGAAUUCCGGGUGUAGCGGUGGAAUGCGCAGAUAUCCGGAGGAACACCAGUGGCGAAGGCGGCCUCCUGGACCAUUCCUGACACUCAGACGCGAAAGCUAGGGUAGCAAACGG
This 403-nucleotide ribosomal RNA is filed under the name uncultured bacterium. RNAcentral's name for it is "bacterial SSU rRNA". It matches the Rfam family "Bacterial small subunit ribosomal RNA", at positions 355 to 775 of the family's 1533-position model. The record is from RNAcentral.